Molecule: ribosomal RNA, 253 nt
Filed under: uncultured bacterium
Lineage: Bacteria
Description: partial 16S ribosomal RNA
Rfam family: Bacterial small subunit ribosomal RNA
Source: RNAcentral
UACGGAGGGUGCGAGCGUUAUCCGGAAUUACUGGGUUUAAAGGGUGCGUAGGCGGCCAUGUAAGUCAGGAGUGAAAGUUUGCGGCUCAACCGUAAAAUUGCUUUUGAUACUGCAUGGCUGGAAUCAGGAUGAGGUCAGCGGAAUGUGGCAUGUAGCGGUGAAAUGCAUAGAUAUGCCAUAGAACACCAAUUGCGAAGGCAGCUGGCUAGACCUGUAUUGACGCUGAGGCACGAAAGCGUGGGGAGCAAACAGG